GACGAACGCUGGCGGCGUGCUUAACACAUGCAAGUCGAACGGAAAGGCCCUGCUUUUGUGGGGUGCUCGAGUGGCGAACGGGUGAGUAACACGUGAGUAACCUGCCCUUGACUUUGGGAUAACUUCAGGAAACUGGGGCUAAUACCGGAUAGGAGCUCCUGCUGCAUGGUGGGGGUUGGAAAGUUUCGGCGGUUGGGGAUGGACUCGCGGCUUAUCAGCUUGUUGGUGGGGUAGUGGCUUACCAAGGCUUUGACGGGUAGCCGGCCUGAGAGGGUGACCGGCCACAUUGGGACUGAGCUACGGCCCAGACUCCUACGGGAGGCAGCAGUGGAGAAUAUUGCACAAUGGGAGGAAGCCUGAUGCAGCAACGCCGCGUGCGGGAUAACGGCCUGCGGGUUGUAAACCGCUUUCGUCUGUGACGAAGCGUGAGUGACGGUAAUGGGUAAAGAAGCACCGGCUAACUACGUG
RNAcentral lists this ribosomal RNA (468 nucleotides) under uncultured bacterium. RNAcentral's name for it is "partial 16S ribosomal RNA". It matches the Rfam family "Bacterial small subunit ribosomal RNA", at positions 28 to 507 of the family's 1533-position model. The record is from RNAcentral.